Molecule: unclassified non-coding RNA, 299 nt
Organism: Saimiri boliviensis boliviensis (Bolivian squirrel monkey)
Lineage: Eukaryota; Metazoa; Chordata; Mammalia; Primates; Cebidae
Rfam family: Metazoan signal recognition particle RNA
About the family: The signal recognition particle (SRP) is a universally conserved ribonucleoprotein. It is involved in the co-translational targeting of proteins to membranes.
Source: Ensembl
GCGGGGUGCAGUGGGGCAUGCCUGUAGUCCCAGCUACUCGGGAGGCUGAGGUGAGAGGAUCGCUUGAGUCCAGGAGUUCUGGGCUGUAGUGCACUAUGCUGAUCGGGCGUCCGCACUAAGUUUGGCAACAAUAUGGUGACCUCCCAGGAGUGGGGGACCACCAGGUUGCCUAAGGAGGAGUGAACUGGCCCAGAUUGAAAACGGAGCAGGUCAAAACUCCUUUGCUGAUCAGUAGUGGGAUCUCGCCUGUGAAUAACCAACACACUCCGGCCUGAGCAACAUAGUGAGACCCCGUCUCU